UGGGGAAUUUUGGACAAUGGGGGCAGCCCUGAUCCAGCCAUGCCGCGUGAGUGAAGAAGGCCUUCGGGUUGUAAAGCUCUUUUGGCGGGGAAGAAAUGGCAACGGCUAAUAUCCGUUGUUGAUGACGGUACCCGCAUAAGAAGCACCGGCUAACUACGUGCCAGCAGCCGCGGUAAUACGUAGGGUGCGAGCGUUAAUCGGAAUUACUGGGCGUAAAGCGUGCGCAGGCGGUUUCGUAAGACAGACGUGAAAUCCCCGGGCUCAACCUGGGAACUGCGUUUGUGACUGCGAGGCUAGAGUACGGCAGAGGGGGGUAGAAUUCCACGUGUAGCAGUGAAAUGCGUAGAGAUGUGGAGGAAUAACGAUGGCGAAGGCAGCCCCCUGGGUUAGUACUGACGCUCAUGCACGAAAGCGUGGGGAGCAAAC
Molecule: ribosomal RNA, 426 nt
Filed under: uncultured bacterium
Lineage: Bacteria
Description: bacterial SSU rRNA
Rfam family: Bacterial small subunit ribosomal RNA
Source: RNAcentral